GUGUUCACUUUGGUAGCACACAUAACAAAACUGGAGCAAUACAGAGAUUGACACAACCCCUGCACAAAGAUGACAUACAAAUUCAUGAAGUAUUCCGUAUUUUU
RNAcentral lists this small nuclear RNA (104 nucleotides) under Castor canadensis (American beaver). The record is from RNAcentral. Lineage: Eukaryota; Metazoa; Chordata; Mammalia; Rodentia; Castoridae.